RNAcentral lists this ribosomal RNA (460 nucleotides) under uncultured bacterium. RNAcentral's name for it is "partial 16S ribosomal RNA". It matches the Rfam family "Bacterial small subunit ribosomal RNA", at positions 338 to 795 of the family's 1533-position model. The record is from RNAcentral.
CCUACGGGAGGCAGAAGUGAGGAAUAUUGGUCAAUGGACGAGAGUCUGAACCAGCCAAGUAGCGUGAAGGAUGACUGCCCUAUGGGUUGUAAACUUCUUUUAUAUGGGAAUAAAAUGUUCCACGUGUGGGAUUUUGUAUGUACCAUAUGUAUAAGGAUCGGCUAACCCCGUGCCAGGAGCCGCGGUAAUACGGUGGAUCCGAGCGUUAUCCGGAUUUAUUGGGUUUAAAGGGAGCGUAGGUGGAUUGUUAAGUCAGUUGUGAAAGUUUGCGGCUCAACCGUAAAAUUGCAGUUGAAACUGGCAGUCUGGAGUAAAGUAGAGGUGGGCGGAAUUCGUGGUGUAGCGGUGAAAUGCUUAGAUAUCACGAAGAACACCGAUUGCGAAGGCAGUUCACUGGACUGCAACUGACACUGAGGCUCGAAAGUGUGGGUAUCAAACAGGAUUAGAUACCCGGGUAGUA